Molecule: ribosomal RNA, 253 nt
Filed under: uncultured bacterium
Lineage: Bacteria
Description: partial 16S ribosomal RNA
Rfam family: Bacterial small subunit ribosomal RNA
Source: RNAcentral
UACAGAGGGUGCGAACGUUGCUCGGAAUUACUGGGCGUAAAGCGCGUGUAGGCGGAGCCGCAAGUCGGGUGUGAAAUCCCCAGGCUUAACCUGGGAACUGCAUUCGAGACUGCAUUGCUAGAGUAUGGGAGAGGGAAGUGGAAUUUCCGGUGUAGCGGUGAAAUGCGUAGAUAUCGGAAGGAACAUCAGUGGCGAAAGCGACUUCCUGGACCAAUACUGACGCUCAUGUGCGAAAGCGUGGGGAGCGAACAGG